GAGCACUCUGACUGCCUCCGGGCCUCGCCCAGGGCAGGUCCACGCCUUGUCAGGGGGUGUCCACGGAAACCGAUGCGGGGAACCGAUGCGGGAAGCGGGGCGCACCGAACCAUUUCUGGGAGCAUCCUCGCAAAACAGUCCAUCAGGGGCACCUUUCCCAUGAAACUGUGGUCAGCGGUUUUGCAGGUGACUAACCAUCUUCGGAAACGUUUAAGUUUCUGAACUUUGAAUUUCUUGGAUCAUCACUUGUGUUUCGAUGCAGGAGGCAGCAGUGUGGGGUGCUCUGGGCAGGACACUCCGGGGCCCCGUGCAGCUGCCUCCGUCCUCUCUGCUGGACUCCAUCCCCUCUCCCAGCGCCGCCUCCAGAGUCCUCGCGCAUGUGAGAGAGCAGCAGGCAGUGACUCCAUCUCUGGUAAUCAACGGCCUGGUACAUCCAUUUUGUCCUCGGUGCACCACUUGCUCUUUCCUCACAGCCCUGCAGUGCUCCCCUGCGUGUGCUCCACCCUUCCUGCCCCUGCCUCUGCUGACGGGAUGUAGGUUGGGCCAUGAAUGGGCAGUUGGGAACAGAGCUGCUCUGCUCAUGGAUGUAGAUAAAUCUUUUUUUUGUAUUUGAGAUUUCACUUUUCAAUAUAUAACUUAUAGAAGUAUUGCUGAUCAUGUGGAAUUUCCAUUUUUAUUUCGUUAAACCUCUGCACCAUUAUCCACAGAGACUAUACCAACUCUCAUGGACACCAACCGUGGAUGAGAGCUCCUUAUUCUCUGUAUCCUCUCCACCGUUCUGAAUUCCAUUCUUCUUUUUUAUUUGGGCCAUUCUCAAGGAGUGAGGUGGCAUCUCAGUGUUGUUUUAAUUUACAUUUCUCUUACAGUAAGUUAAGAUGAACAUUCCUGUUUCUGUAGGACAUUAGAAUUUCCUCUCUAGAGAAGAGUUUAUGUACUUCCUUUGUCCAUUUUUUAAUUUUUUUUUUGGUGUUGUUGGAUUUAUGAUUUGUAUAUAUUUUUUAAAAGAUUUAUUUAUUUAUUUAUACAAGUACUGGGUACAGUCAGAAACACUGGAGGGUGAGAGAGUUCACCAGAGCCAGAGCAGGGAGCAGAGCAGGCAGAAGGACCGAAGUACACU
Long non-coding RNA from Talpa occidentalis (Iberian mole), 1117 nucleotides. RefSeq lists it as uncharacterized. The record is from RefSeq and is a predicted model, not a curated record. Lineage: Eukaryota; Metazoa; Chordata; Mammalia; Eulipotyphla; Talpidae. The transcript is spliced from 3 exons.